RNAcentral lists this transfer RNA (72 nucleotides) under Perkinsus marinus ATCC 50983. It matches the Rfam family "tRNA". From Rfam's summary of the family: Transfer RNA (tRNA) molecules are approximately 80 nucleotides in length. Their secondary structure includes four short double-helical elements and three loops (D, anti-codon, and T loops). The record is from Rfam by way of RNAcentral. Lineage: Eukaryota; Perkinsozoa; Perkinsida; Perkinsidae.
GGGCGUGUGGUGUAGAGGUAUCACGUGUGCUUUGCAUGCAGAAGGCCUCGAGUUCAAUUCUUGGCACGUCCA